This 510-nucleotide ribosomal RNA is filed under the name uncultured Glomus. RNAcentral's name for it is "SSU rRNA". It matches the Rfam family "Eukaryotic small subunit ribosomal RNA", at positions 569 to 1081 of the family's 1831-position model. The record is from RNAcentral. Lineage: Eukaryota; Fungi; Glomeromycota; Glomeromycetes; Glomerales; Glomeraceae.
AGCAGCCGCGGUAAUUCCAGCUCCAAUAGCGUAUAUUAAAGUUGUUGCAGUUAAAAAGCUCGUAGUUGAAUUUCGGGAUCAAUAUGUUGGUCGUGCCUUUGGUACGUACUAGCUUAUUGAUUUCUCCCUUCUGACGAACCAUGAUGUCAUUAAUUUGGUGUCAUGGGGAAUCAGGACUGUUACUUUGAAAAAUUAGAGUGUUUAAAGCAGGCUUACGCUUGAAUAUAUUAGCAUGGAAUAAUGAAAUAGGACGUUUUGAUUCUAUUUUGUUGGUUUCUAGGAUCGACGUAAUGAUUAAUAGGGAUAGUUGGGGGCAUUAGUAUUCAAUUGUCAGAGGUGAAAUUCUUGGAUUUAUUGAAGACUAACUACUGCGAAAGCAUUUGCCAAGGAUGUUUUCAUUAAUCAAGAACGAAAGUUAGGGGAUCGAAGACGAUCAGAUACCGUCGUAGUCUUAACCAUAAACUAUGCCGACUAGGGAUCGGAUGAUGUUAAUUUCUUAAUGACUCAUUC